AUUGAACGCUGGCGGCAUGCCUUACACAUGCAAGUCGAACGGCAGCACGGAGCAAUCCUGGUGGCGAGUGGCGAACGGGUGAGUAAUAUAUCGGAACGUGCCCAGUCCGUGGGGGAUAACCGUAGCGAAAGCUACGCUAAUACCGCAUACGAUCUAUGGAUGAAAGCGGGGGAUCGCAAGACCUCGCGCGAUUGGAGCGGCCGAUAUCAGAUUAGGUAGUUGGUGAGGUAAAGGCUCACCAAGCCGACGAUCUGUAGCUGGUCUGAGAGGACGACCAGCCACACUGGGACCUGAGACACGGCCCA
Molecule: ribosomal RNA, 305 nt
Filed under: uncultured bacterium
Lineage: Bacteria
Description: bacterial SSU rRNA
Rfam family: Bacterial small subunit ribosomal RNA
Source: RNAcentral